RNAcentral lists this long non-coding RNA (397 nucleotides) under Helianthus annuus (common sunflower). RNAcentral's name for it is "sRNA HanXRQr2_Chr11g0518491". The record is from RNAcentral. Lineage: Eukaryota; Viridiplantae; Streptophyta; Magnoliopsida; Asterales; Asteraceae.
UUUUCUCUCUCUUUCUCUCAAAAAGAUUCAUGUAUGAAGGUCUAGCCUCAUCCACAUCUCCAUUAUCAUUCAUCCAUUCUCCUCCCCUACGCAGUUAUUAAAGAAUUUUCAUGGUCUUUUUGUUUGGAAAUGAUCCAAAUAGAGCCCAUCCUUUCGGAGAUGUUCCUGCUUCAUUUUGCUUGGAUUCUAAAUUAUUAAGAAAAAUCAUUCAUCAGAUUAAAUGAUCUGUCGAAAGUGGAGUUGCAUCUCAAAAAGGGAGGAAGAUAAAAAAACUGAACAUUACCGCACAUUUUUGUAAGACUAAAUUGGAUGGGAUCAUAACCCUCCACUGGUGUAGUUAGGUGAACCUCAUACGGGUCAUCACGUGUCGUUUGACCUGAAUAUACAUCAUGAAUUC